RNAcentral lists this transfer RNA (68 nucleotides) under Vicugna pacos (alpaca). RNAcentral describes it as "tRNA-Und (NNN) (tRNA-Und-NNN-35-1)". It matches the Rfam family "tRNA". Rfam says of the family: Transfer RNA (tRNA) molecules are approximately 80 nucleotides in length. Their secondary structure includes four short double-helical elements and three loops (D, anti-codon, and T loops). The record is from Rfam by way of RNAcentral. Lineage: Eukaryota; Metazoa; Chordata; Mammalia; Artiodactyla; Camelidae.
GGGGGUGUAGCUCAGAGGUAGAGUGCAUGCUUUGCAUGAGGUCCUGGGUUCAAUCCCCAGCACUUCCA